GCUUCACUAACCUUAUCUCUAUUUCUCUAACUAAUUCUAUCUUCAUUUUCACUCUUCAUUUUACAUUUCGGCAGGACAACUCUAAGGGAGAGAGCUCUUCCUUCUUCUUGCACCAUAGCUAUUAUUAACUUUCAAAAGGUUGUUCUUGGGUGAUUUUUUUUCCCUCUAUUUUUAGAGCUAUGUGGCCAGUGACUCUCUCAUCCAUUUUUUACGUUUUUUAUUUUGCGAUUUGUAUGAAACCAAUCACUUGUUUUUGGUGUGAACUGUAUAUAAAUUAAGCUUGGUCUACUACUCUGAACUUCUAGAGGGUCUUGCAGCAUGCACUUUGACGAUAUUUUGAUCUAUAUGUUCGUUCACGGACCACGGUCUUGCCACCCGUUGUAGAAACUUCAACUUUUUUUUGACAGUUGUAGUCUGUACGUACGUAGACAGAUUUUGUAGUUAAUUGAUCAGUUUGAACUCAACAAAUACUUCUGAAUUAAUUUCUCCUUGAAGAAAAUAACUUUGACAUUGGAAAGUACUCGUUGAUUAAGGAAAUAAACUAAUUAAUCAAUUAUAUAUAGUCAUAUGAAGUAUGAACUAACUUAAUUAGCUUCAUGGAUGAGUAUAUAUAAGCGCGCCGGCCCUAGGCAUAGGCGAGCCAGGCCUGUGCCUAGGGCCCCACUUUGAAAAGGUCCAAUAUUUUGAAAAAUAUAAUUUUUUUCUAUACAAAAAUAUUAUUUUAUAAUAAUUAUUAUAAAAAUACUAAAAAUUUAUUGGGCCCCCAAUCCUCACAGGCUGGCCUUUAGCUCAUGCAUUUGCCCCUGAUAAAAUAGAUAGUGUUUAGAUAGUUGUACUAUGUAGGCUUUGUUAGCUAAUUCAGUUUCCUAAUUAGUUUAGUGAGCUGUCAAAUAAACAAAUUCUGUUUUCUUUGUUUUUCAUUCUAUGUAAUAUUUCCAAGUCUAUAAAUACAAUUCUUUUCCUCUAGUCUUGUAACUUUUUGCAAGACUUCGAGGAAUCUUCUUUUCAAUUUUGCUCUUCAUAGAUCUUGUAUAGAUAAGUUCACAAAACCUUUUCAUGGUACCAGAGCCGUUGACGCAAGUCUUAUAUGGAUCAUCAAGUAGACCCAUCUGCCCCUACAGACGAUUCUCACGCGCCAUUGACGAAUCUUCCUCCCAAUCCAUCAUUUUCUUCCUCUACGAUGAAUGUUACUGCAUCUUCUUCCCCUUCCACAUCUUCUUCUCCGUGGAACCCCUUUCAAAAUUCCCUCAAUUCUUCCCUUACUGUCAAACUUGAUAGGUCUAAUUUUCUUGCGUGGAAAUCGCAAGUCAUCCCCACAGUUAUCGGCCAUGGCCUCGAUGAUAUCUUACUCACCGGUGUUGCUCCACCGAAGUUGCUCAUUGAUGGCACUCUCAAUCCUGAUUUCACCACUUGGAGACGCAAAGAUCAACUCUUGCUCAGCUGGUUAAGAUCUUCGAUGUCCGAACUUGUUCUUGGAUUCUUGGCUCAACAUUCCACUUCAUUUGCUGCGUGGAGAGCCCUUGAACAAAGGUUUUCUUCCCAGUCCAAAGCUCGGAUUCUCCAAAUCAAGUCCCAACUCUCUAUGAUCAAAAAGCGUAACCUCUCAAUCACAGACUACUAUGAUAAAGUUACAUCUUUGGAUGAUUCUUUAUCUACUGCUGGACAACCACUCUCUGAAAAUGACCUUGUUAUGCAUCUGUUAAAUGGUUUGGGUCUUGAGUUUGACCCUGUGGUUGUUCAUGUUACGAGCCUUGUUUAUGAUUUUUCUUUUGAGAAAAUCCAAUCUCUUUUGUAUUCUCAUGAAACACGACUUGAGAGACAUCUUUCUGUUAAUGAUAUUUCUGCCAAGAUUUCGGCCAAUGUGUCUCUUGGUCCUCCAAGAUUUGCUCAAUCAUCCACACAACCUCGUUCGUAUUCCAAUUCUGGCAGAUGCAACAAUAACUACCCUCGAUAUGGUGGAUGAUUUUCUAGUAGAGGUUCCCCAACUCUUAUGCGAUUACUCUGCCAAGUUUGUCACAAGAUCGACCAUUCUGCUGCAAUCUGUCAUUACAGAUAUGAUAAAACCUUUAUUACUCCUAAAGUUGGGGAUUCUCAACCCAAAGUCUAUGUCAUAGAGGUUGAUGCAAAUGGUCCACAAGCCUAUACCACCAUUACUGUUCCUGACUUUGGUGAUGACACUUAGUGGUAUGCUGACUCUGGAGCCACAAAUCACAUAGCUCUCGGUAUGGAGAACCUUGACUUUGCAGCACUCUAUGAAGGACAUGAAUCUCUAGCUGUUGGAAAUGGUAAGAAACUAGCCAUCACACAUGUUGGUACAACUUAUUUUCCCUCUACUUCUACCCAUUUAUAGCUUCAUUCUGUUAUAAAAGUACCUGAAAUUACCAAUUAGUGUUUCAAAACUAACCAAAGAUAACAAUGUUUUUAUGGAGUUUCAUGCUACUUGUUGUUUUGUAAAGGACAAACAAACAGGGAGAGUUGCUCAAAAGGAGAGUUAAUGACGACUUAUACAUUCUUUCCCAAAGGUCUCAACAAAAUUCUAGUCUCAAGCUCGAGUGCAAUUUAACCACUACUAAGUCUUUUCAAUGUAAUUGUACUCAUUCAUGUACAACUAAUUAUGCUAUAGUAGUAACCAAUUGUAAUACAUUUGAAACAAAUAAAGAAAUUGAUUCUUUUGUUGCUUGUAAAUCUUCUCCUUCUUUAUUUCUUUCUACUGUAAAUUCUGAUGUAAAUUCGUGGCAUUCAAAGUUAGGCCAUCCCGCUCAUCAUAUUUUGAGUAAAAAUUUGUCUAAAGUAAAGCACUCGAGUACUCUUAAAGACCUUUCCUUUUGUGAAGCUUGUCAAAAAGGAAAAAGCUAGACACUUCCCUACACUCCCUCCUAAAAGAGUGCAUCACAACCACUAAGUUUGAUUCAUACAGACCUAUGGGGUCCUUCUCAUGCCACAUCCAAAGAGGGAUUCAAAUAUUAUAUUCAUUUUGUUGUCCUUGGUUUUGAAGUCUCAAGCCUUUUCCACAUUUAUUCAAUUCAAGACCUUUGCUGAAAAAUAAUUUGGUUUUCCCAUCAAGUGUGUUCAAUCUGAUUGGGGAGGGGAAUACAGAUCCUUCUCCAAAUUUUUGAUAGAUCAAGGCAUACAUUUUCAGCAUCCUUGUCCUCACGAUCACGAGCAAAAUGGACGUGCUGAGAGAGAGCAUCGCCAUAUCACAAAGAUGGGUCUUACCAUGCUUGCUCAAUCAGGACUUGACUUCUCUUAUUGGUGGCUAGCUUUUCAAACUGCUGUAUAUGCUAUAAACAGAAUGCCUACACAAGUCAUUGGUGGUAUCUCUCCAUAUGAAUGUCUUUUCCAAAAGGAACCUGAUUAUGUAUUCAUGAAGACAUUUGGAUGUGCUUGUUAUCCCUUGCUUCGGCCAUUCAAUAAUCACAAGCUGAAUUUUAGAAGUGAGAAGUGUACAUUUGUUGGUUAUUCUUUUCAACACAAAGGCUACUUUUGUGAGAAUUCCAAUGGCAGAAUCUUUAUAGCUAGGAAUGUCAUCUUUCAUGAAAAAGAUUUUCUUGCUCUAACUGCUACCAAAAAUACUCAGGUACCUCACUCCUUUAUCACUUCAUUACCUACUGCUAGUUUUUCCACUAGCCCUUUACCACCAGCUACUAAUAUAUCUCCUUCUCAAACUGUUGUUCCCAAUUUAAACUCAAAUACUGUUGCUGAUUCUCUUGAGCACAUAACUGAAACUGAAGUUCUAGCUGCCUGCACUAAAGAACCAACUCUGUGUGCUGAAGUUCCAGCUGCUAAGCUGCCUUGCUCAACCUCCAACUUGCCAUAAUCUCAAACGCCAAUACCUGAACCUAUCGACCAAGUUCUUGAUGAUCAAAACGCCUCUUCAGAAGCUCCUAUAUCUCAGCAAUUGGACAAUUCAGUUCCCAUUUCAGCAAUGCCUCCACCAGCAACAAGAAAUGAACACCAUAUGCAAACAAGAUCCAAGGAUGGUAUCUAUAAACCUAAAGCCUAAAAUGCUACCAAAUAUCUACGAUCUGAGUCUCUCUUACCUAAAGAACCUACUUCCACAAAGAUAGCUCUGAAAGAUCCUCACUGGAGACACUCUAUGCAAUAAGAAUUUGAUGCCCUCAUUCACAAUGAUACUUGGGAAUUAGUUCCUUAUGCUCAACACAUGAACUUAGUAGGAAAUAAAUGGUUUUAUCGUAUCAAGCUCAAAUCUGAUGGAAGUUUGGACAAAUACAAGUCAAGAUUGGUUGCAAAGGGCUACCUCCAAACAUCGGGGAUUGAUUAUGUUGAAACUUUUAGUCCUGUUGUGAAACCGGCCACAGUUCGAAUAGUUUUAACCUUGGUUGUCUCAUUCAAGUGGGAAGUCAAACAACUUGAUGUUAGUAGUGCCUUUCUCUAUGGUACUCUAACUGAAACAGUGCAUAUGCAGCAGCCCGAGGGGUUUAUUGAUGCCACUAAACCAAACCAUGUGUGCAGACUAAAGAAGGCUCUUUACGGCCUCAAACAGGCCCCAAGAGCGCGGAACGAGAAAUUGAAGACCACACUUCUUGCCAAAGGAUUUGUAGCUUCCAAAGAUGACACCUCUCUUUUUCUAUGGCUCGGGCUCAUCACUUAUAAUUCUCCUUGUGUAUGUUGACGAUAUAUUGAUCACAGGUCCAAAUCAGUCACUAAUAUCUCAGUUUCUCCAUGAUUUAAACAAAGUUUUUCUUGUCAAAGACCUUGGAGCAGUUCAUUUCUUCCUUGGUGUAGAGAUACAUCGUACUCGCUCAGGUAUGUACUUAUCCCAAAACAAAUAUGUGGCAGAUUUACUCACUAAGUUGCACAUGGAAGGAGCUAAAUCCAGUCCAAGUCCUACGAGUUCUGCACAUAAGCUUUCCUAACAGAUUGGUGAGCCAUUUUAUGAUCCACACUUGUAUAGAAGCACUCUUGGUGCCCUUCAGUAUCUCACUCUUACUCGCCCUGAUGUUGCCUUCAUCCUCAACAAGAUUUCUCAAUUCAUUCAUGCUCCCACUAACACUCACUGGGAGGCCCGAAAUGCCUGAAAACAGGGGGUUAAUGUGGAGGAGGUUAAUAGAUGUAACGCCCGAACUCCAGGGUCCGUUACGGUGUGCCUUGUAAACAGUGCUAAACUCGCUAAUCGAGUCAUUUGGCCAAAAUCGUGAACUAAGUAUGAUUAGCGGUUUAGGGAUUUAAAAUUUUGAUUAGGAUAAAACGUUUCACUAGAACGUUUAAUAUAUAUAUAUUGAGAUCCCGAAAAUAUAAUUUCAGAGUCUAUUAUAGAAAAUAUUUACAACAGGCUGUUCUAAACGGCAAAACAGGGUUCAACCCUAGUUCCUCUUUAAACCUCGACCGUGGCAGACGAGCAGCUGCAUAUGUACACGUCAUCACCUAAGCUCUCCAACUCAAGGAUGGUCCAGCUUUCAUUUACCUUUACCUGCAUCACAUAGCACCCGUGAGCCGAAGCCCAGCAAGAAAACACAAUAUAACAUGAUAUAAUAUCAACAUUGAUUGUAUUAAUUAUUCAGUUGCAACCGUCCGAACAAAUAGGUGACUAACACAAGAGUCACGAAUGUGGGGACAACACCCUUUAGCCAUGUGAUGAUAGGAUCACCAAGCUAAGAAAAUAAGUGAGCAUCUCACUAACUUUAGCAGGAUAGAUGCAUGGUGAUUGGUCACCAACAUAACCUUCCUCCCGACUCUAGAGUCGUAACUAUGGACAGCGUCCCCUAGCCAUGUGACAAACAGUCACCGGGGCCAUAUGUCCUGGCUAUGAACAUCUGGUCUUAGACCAGGCAAGCGCUUAUAAGUUCUUUGACCUUAGGGCCGGUCCAGCAUUAAUGCCAUAGGGCCAUUCAAUGUUGAUAUCGAUUAGAUCUAAUCUUCAUUUGGCCCGGCGUUCAUGACGCUAUGCCAUUUCUGACUCUUAGGUCAGAAUCCCUGACUAGUCAGUGCCAUAUGGAAGUAAGUCAUGCCACCAAACAUAUGUCACAUAUCCAAUAUCCAUAAACAAGGUAUUCAACAUGCUUACUUAACAAAUAUUAAUACAAUUAGGACCAUGUACAAACCCAGAGGCACAAGCUCUGAACAAUAUCAUAAUCAGUUUUCAAAGCAUGUCCUAUUCACAUGUUUCUCAUGCAUCAUAUGCAUUAUUUUCAACAAUCCAACAUGCACCAAUAAUCGUCAUGCAUGUCACGUUCAAUAAUCCACCAACAUGCAUCGAGAAUAGCCAUGCAUGUCAUACUCAGUAAUCAGCCAACAUGCAUCAAUAACAGCCAUGCAUGUCACAUAUAUACAGGGUGCAGUUUUCUUACCUCAGAUUCGAGCUAGAAUGAUUAAAAGAACGACCCUUGAGAGCGAUCAACUUUUAGUCCUUUAGCGGUCACCUAGUCAUAACCAAAUAUAGGAUAUCAUUAAUAAAAAUGAUCAAUAUAAGUUCCCAAACCAAUAUCUAGCCUCCGGGACAUCAAUCCCCACUUAACCGGGUACUAGGUACAACCACGAGGCCUAAGGCUUGAAUCCCCAAGCUUGAAACACCAUUUUGGGCUAAAAUGACCUUAAGGGCCGCGACCCUCCCCAGCUACGCCGCGGCGCGCCUCCCAGACAGAGACCACCCUCCCUGCCAGACGCCUUGAGCCGCGGCGCACCACAGCCAUGCCGCGGCUCAAUACCCAAUUUUGCCCAGAAAACUCAGCACGCACAUCAGACUUUCCCCUGCGUUUUCCCUUGAAACCAGCCCUUAAAACCUGUCUCAAAUCACAACUUAACACCCAAUUCAACCACCAAACAUAUCUACAACUCACCCUCAUCAACACCCAAAGAAAACAUCACCCAAACCUCUAUUAAUCCAAACUUUCCAUCAAGAAAACAUAAACUGAAAAACUAAAGGAAAACAGAGUAUAAACCAGAAACCUAUGGCUAAACUCACCUUAAAAUCCGAGUUUGAACCUCCUUCAAUGGCUGAACCAAGUCUACAAACCCAGCCCCUUGAUUUCCUAGCUUGAAACCCCACUUUGAGCUCAAAAACUCCAAAGAAGAAAUGGUGAUAGAUGGUGUACGGGUUGAAGAAGAAAACCCCUAUUUUGUCUCUGUUUUUUUCUACAGCCUUAAAGUCAUAUAUAUCCAAUCCCAAAUGACCUAAAUACCCCUAGGUCACUUAAGGUUCCUAAAGCCACCCCAAGGGAAAAAUUGUCCUUUCCAACCUAUUCCGUUAAUUAUAAUUAACGCUCUUCAAUUCCCGCUAUUCUCAAUAUCCUCAAAUACCAAUAAAUCAUAUCCCAUUACCCUUUUAUUCCCGGUAAUGAUCUAGUCAAUAAAAUGACCCCGAGACUCACCCCGAGCCCCGAACUUAAACCCGUUAUGACUAGACCGAACACUUACAUUUCAUGAUCGUCUCAUGCCGAAUAGCUCGAACCAAUCCACCUUAUAAUGUGGCUAUAUUAAUAAUUCACAACCAUGCACCCAAAACACACAAUUACGCCCACAUUGGCCAAAUUACCAAAAUGCCCUCAUAAUUGACAUAUGAACCCAUAUGCAUGCAUUCACCAUCAUAUAAUAAUAUAAUUCACGUAACACAUGCAUAUAAUCAUUAAAUACUAUAAUAAAUCAAUCAUGGCCCUCCCGGCCUCCUAAUCAAGGUCCUAAACCUUAUUAGGAAAUUUGGGGCAUUAUAAUAGAGCACCGCUUCCACUCCCUAUACAUACAUACGAGGGUGAUGGAUUCAAAGCAGGAUUACCACACUCUGCUUUGACACCCCGAUGCCAUUGAGGCCAUCAUGAGGCACUAUUCGAUUGGAGAGAAGAGUCUCAUUCGCCUCUGUCGAGAGUCCGAAAGGGCACACCACAGCGUCAACGGCCUGGGCACCUGGAGCUAGGCCCACCUGAUGGCAGGGGCUACCCUACCCCUCAAACAAUAUUUUGUGAACUUCCUUAAGUUCAUGGGGAUAUACACUUUCAAGCUUUCCCCUAACAACUACAGAGUGCUUGCGGGGAUGUACAUUCUGUAUUGGAAGCAGAAAUGACUCGAGCCUUCGCCGGCGGAGAUACUCUACUUUUACAGCUUUCGCACCACUAUACGGAAGAAGAACACCAAACGGGACGGGUACUAUGCCCUGGCAAAGUACGCGACCUCUUCGCUCGACUAUAAGGCUCCUCACAUAACGAGAAUCAUUAUCGGAAUUACAAGGAUGCCGUCUUCUUCACGAAUGGCUUCCUGAUUCGCAGCAAUAUGACCCUGAUUCUCGACUUCGCCAGAGUUGGUGAGUAUCUUCCCGACCAUGUUAUCUUUCACAUUUUUGGGCCUUUUUGUGUUUGAAACUUAGUCAAUUCCUUUUGAAUAAGUUAUUUCCACUAAACCCACUAUGUUUAACUCUUCAAGGAUCAUCUCCAGGCGAUGAAGGCUCUCCCCGAUUGAGAUUUGGAUCUUAGCGUCUUGGUGUCUGAAUCAAACCUCAUUAGGUCGGGGCUUAUCAACGUGGAACAAAGAAUCAACAACCUAGAGCAGACCAAGUAUCGCCAGUCCACAAACUCUCAGGAGUUGGCGUCCCGUCACAUCAACUACAUAGACGGGCUGGCCCAGAGGGAUUGCAAAAAACUAGCAAAUGGCGGCAACACACAAGGAACUUCUUAAGUCCCCAGAAAGGGGAGUCAGAAAUGCAUUUGUGCAAAAGAGAAAGAAGCGGUUGGCGGAGGAAAGGCUAGAGAACAUGCAUGCUGCGGAAGAAGCUUGAGAAGCCAAGGAGGACCAGGAGCUUGAGGAAGAGCUUCAAGCAGGGAUGGAAGCCUCACACGCUGCUCUAGGUAACCUACAUCUUACCCCAUACCAUGAUCCCCGGGUAGGAAUAGGAUAAGUCCCGAGCACGUUUGGGCCUCUCCAACUCUCCUUCGUUGUGGACAAAUUUCACAUUAGCCGCUGAACUAGGGAAGAAUUCGAAGAUUACAUAGAUUUAAUAGACGUAUAUCUCCACCGCCCGAGGAGACAGUCAGCUCCUCGAGGCUUUAUACCCCUAGAUUGAGUGACGUCUUUCAACUCAAACUGGUUUUUCCAAUAUGGCACCAACAUGAGUUGUGAGGUCAGAAAUAGGAUAAGACACUUUCACUGUUUGCACCGAGGCUUAACUCAUGGUGGGCCUCCGAGUAGACAAUGUUUUGGCAUUAAUUCAUUGUGGGAAAUACACUAUCUGUUUGAUUUGUUCCUCCAGCUCAUAUGGGGUUAACUGACAUUGCCAGGUUCGCCCUGAGGCUUAGGGCACCCCUAAGCUCUUUGGCGGGAGAGGGGUCGUCACACCCUUGGGAGCAUCUAGAACCCCUUCCUUCGGUCAAGAGGCAGAGGUCCUUACUCCCUCUGUGACUAUUCCUGAAGUCGAUCCACCCCCGGUAUUGGAUAUCCCAUCCUCGUCCGGGCCAGAAGAGUCAGUCCAAGACCUAGAGCAAGAGGCGGUUCAAGACUCGAAGUAGGAGGUGGUGCCACCCCAGAUCCAUCUCCUAGUGUAUCUUGAGAACUAUGAGGGGGCCUUGCUGGAGCAAUACGAGAAAAUGCUUCAACAUUUUGAAGCAAGGCUGGUGAAAGGUAACAAGGCUCUGCAUGAAAUAGCCGAGGCCCUUUGCCAACUUAAGCCACCCCGAGAGAGGCCAGCCAUUCCUCCAAUAGGUCGAGCUGAGCUGGAGACUUUAUUCUUCGAGAAGCUAGGGGAAAUUGUUGCCCCUCUCACCGUCGAGAUCCUUCAAGGGGUCAACUCCACUAUGUGCGAGUUGACCACUCAAAGUUUCUCCCAGUUGGGUGACAGUAAUGAGGCCUCCCUCAUGGCCUCGUGUCGGUAUGCUUCUGUCCAGGUAAGCCAAUCAUCCUCACAUUCUAACUCAGCUCAUUAAUGCUUUAAGCUAACCUUUUCCUCUUUCCUUUUGCAGUCCGCUUUGGCUUGCCAACGUUUGGGAGACAUCAUGAUGGAGAAAUCAUAUGAACUUUAUACAUCUCAGGACAAAAUAGCCUCCGUUAAGAAGAAACUUCAAGGCCCUCAAGAAGAGCUCGCCCGAGCUAAGGAAGUCCUUGAAGCCGAGCAAAAACGCUCUCAGGAUCUUGAAGAGGCUGUCCGAAAGGCCAUUGAGGACACGCUGCGGGCCAAGGAGGAAACGAAAACAACCACAAAGAGUAUGCAGCGAGCCCAAGAGGAGGCUAAGAAGGCCAUAGUUGACAUUGCUCGAGUCCUUGAAAACUCCCAAUUUCAGGAGCAGGCCACACCGUCCUAGUCUCAACCAUAAACGAUGCCGACCAAGCUGAACCAGGGGAGAGAAAAGCCCUCCAAGUCAUGGAAAUGAAUAGGUCUUCUCGGUGUCGGGUGGAAAAGUUGGAGAAAGAAAUCGAGACAAUCGCCAAGGAUGCCUUCUACGUGGCCUGGUACCACAACCAAGACAUGAGCUUGGAUUUCACUGGUGAGCCAGAGAAGUAUAGACUUUUCUUCGAAGAGCGUCUCCGAGAAACCCAGGCUGCGAAAGCGGCUUCAGCUGCUGAGGUGACCCAAGUGGCUCAAACAGCCGAGGAGACCCCGUCUACAGAGGCCAUCCAGCCAACCAAGGCGACCUCGACUACUGAAACAGCCCAGGCAGAAGGUGCCUUGAGUACAGACCCGAUCAUUGACCUGGUGGAGAAAAUCCUUGAAAACUGUUCAUAAUUUUUACACUUAGGCCUACGUGCCAUAACUUAUUGGGGUAUAGACAAACAAUCGCUCGAGCCCUUGACCAUAGUUGUAAUUACUUUCCCGUUUAAGAAUUAUGUAGCCUGCCUUGCUUUAUUAUUUGGUUUGGUUAUAUGAAUUCAAUGUAACUUAAUUUCCACGAGAAUAAGCACUCAAAUCUCUUUAAACACUUGGUUUUAUAAAUUCAACGUGGCCCGACUGCCACGAGAACAAGAGCUCACACUUGUUUUAAACAGUUGGUUCUAUAAAUUCAAUGUAACAUGAAUGCCACGAGAACAAGAACUCAAACCAUUUUAUGCCCUUGGUUCUAUAUAUUCAACACAACACGAAUGCCACGAGAACAAGAACUUAAACCGUUUUAUAUACUUGGUUCUAUAAAUUCAUCGUAGCAUGAUUGCCAUGAGAACAAGAACUUAAACCGUUUGAAAGGUGAUUCCAAUAUUUUGUCUCUUGUAGGCUUAUAGUCCUAGAAGUAACUUUAACACAAAAUUUAUUAUUGAUCCUAACUUGGCAUCCUAUGUCCUUGCCAUCCAAAGAUUCAGGCUUUCAGGGGUCCUUGCAUGUGGAACCGCGUGCCCCCCAAGUACGCGAUACUCGGGUAGUCAGUUAAGGACUUCCCCUGCUCCUUGAGUGUAUGUCUCGGAGAUUCCACUUGCCAUUUUAGAUCUCAUAAAUCUUUGGGCUCGAUGUCCUUGGGAGGUGAUGUUAAUAGGGUGUCCAAGUAUACAUGACUUGGGCACCGUUCACAUCUCAGAGAUAGGGAUUUGGUUAUUACUCCUCGGGUGCGCGCUGUCCUCGGAAGGUAACAUGAAUCUCUAAGUUUUCAUUACACUGGGUUUUCUCCAGGUUUUCUAGUUAUGGGAUAUCGGGACACUAGGGGCGCUUCGCUCGUCGACUAGCCAAGCUCCCUAUGUCACAGAUUUCCUAGGGCCCGAGUACGGGGUACUUAGUCUUUCUUUCGCAUCUCAAGACAAAGAGACUUGGUCAUAGCUCCUUGGGCUUGGUGUCCACGGAAGGUGAUAAAGGUCUAUUCUCGCGCUACUUAGGUUAUCUAGCUCCUAGGUGCUAAGCUUUGUUCCGCCUAGAACAAGCUUAGUCUUCUAGGGUAGAGUUGACUAAUUUCCUAGGAUUUUCUAUUCUCGGGAGGGUCACGCUAGGCUUACUCAUCUUGAAAAACUUAGUUUCCUAGGUCGUUCACUGUGAGGCAUAACGCUACCCUAACUCCAUGCCCCCCAAGUGAUCGGAGACUAGUCUGCGAUCACUUGUCCAAGCAAGCGGGUGCUUUUACAUAGCAUUAAUAGAAUAAAGAAAACUAAUAAAUAUAAGCAGACAAUAAGUUUCUUACCGUGUUUUUCAUACACUGUUUCCAUUAAAUAUGCCCAAAGGCUACAAGAGGUAUUACAAAAAUAAAGAAUGUUUACUGCUCAUAGUACUGGUAAUACCAAUGAAGAUGCUCAACAUUCCAGGCAUGAGAAAUCAGCUCUCCACUUAGUCGGGCUAACUUGUAUGUUCCCAGACACACAACGCUCUCGACUUGGUAUGGGCCUUCCCAGUUAGGUCCCAACACUCUUGCACCGGGGUCUCAGGUGGCUAAGAAGACUCUUCGCAACACCAGACUUUCCAUCUUUCACCUUAGAGUUGAAAUAUAAUGCUACCUUCUACUGGUAGGACGCUACUCGAAGCUGAGAAGCUUUGCAAAGUUCCUCCACAAGGUCCAGGGAUUCUCGAAGUAAAGCAUGGUUCGUGGUAGGGUCAUACGUGUCUCGUUGGUGUGUGGAGAUUGCUGCUUCAACUGGGAGCAUAGCCUUAUACCCGUAGGCCAUCGAAAAGGGAGAAUGGCCGGUGGAGGUCCUAGCAGUGGUGCGGUAGCUCCAUAAUGCCCUAGGCAGCUCCUCAGGCCAAGCUUCUUUUGCCUGCCCUAGCCUUUUCUUCAAAGUGGACUUGAGUAUUUUGUUGACUGCUUCCACUUGGUCAUUGGCUUGCGGAUGGGCCAUGGAGGAGAAGCUCUUGAGGACUCCAUACUGUUGACAGAAGUCCGCGAACACUUCACUGUCAAACUGCAAUCUGUUGUCGGAGACUAUAUUCCUCGGGAGCCCGUACCGGCAAAUGAUGUUCUUGAUAACAAAGUCCAAGGCAUUUUUAGAGGUGAUCGAAGCAAGUGGCUUGGCCUUGACCCACUUCAUGAAGUAGUCGACGACUCUAUAGCAUAUUUCACUCCUCCUUUCCUUGUAGGCAAGGACCCAAUAAGGUCGAUGCCCCAGACAGCGAAAGGACAUGAGCUGGUCAUCUGUGUAAGCUCAUUUGGAGGCGCUUGGGGAAUGUUGGCAAAGCGCUGGUACUUGUCGCAUUUCUUGACAUAAUCCAUCACAUCACCAUUCAUGGUGGGCCAAAAGUAUCCUUGCCUUAAUAUUUUUUUGAAAAGGCUUUGCCCCCCAACAUGAUCUCCGCAAAAAACCUUGUGUACUUCUCGGAGAAUCAAACUGGCUUCUUGCUUGGACACACACCAAAGCAAAGGCAUAGAGUAACCUCACCGAUAAAGCCUAUUACCCAUGAUUAUGUACCUCAGUACUUGAUAAAGCAGCUUUUGAGCUGCCUUCUUAUCCUGAGGAAGCUCCCCGGAGAUGAGAUAUUUAACCAUCGACUCCAUCCAGCCAUUUUGGGAGUGUAUAGACGACACCUCAUCUGGAGCUGAGAUACUUGGAGACUCCAAAUAAUCAAUGGGGACCACAUUGAUCAACUCAACAUCUUUGGUUGUGGCCAACAUGCCAGAGCAUCAACUUGGAAUUCUGCUCCCGCGACACCUGCUGAAUAGUGAAUCUUCAGAAGUUAUGCAUCCUUUCUUGAGCCUUUGCCAGGUAUGCUGCCAUCUUUGUUUCCUGAGCCUGGUACUCUCCAAGAACGUGGUUCACAAUGAUUUGGGAAUCGCUAAAGAUCUCGAGGCCCUCGGCCUUGAGCUUUAGUGCCACGCGAAUCCCAGCGAUUAAGGCUUCGUAUUCCGCUUCAUUUUAGAGGCGCUAAACCCAAAGCAGAGGGCACUAUGCACUCUGUGACCCUAAAGGGAAACCAAAAUAAGUCCAGCUCCGACACCAUUUUCGUUCGAAGACCCGUCAAUGAACAAAUUCCAGGCUAGUCCGACCACGAGGGUACCCUUAGUCUUCUCCUGAUUCCCUGUGCAUUUGGUGAUGAAAUCAGCGAGUGCCUAACCUUUAUGGCAGUCCUCGGAUGGUAGGUGAUGUCGAACUGACUUAACUCCAUCGACCACUUCAAGAGUCUUCCCGACGACUUAGGCUUCUGAAGGACUUGUUUGAGGGGAUGGUUUGUGAGGACCUUAAUCAGAUGCGUCUGGAAGUAGGGUCUUAGCUUUAAAGAGGUCACUAUUAAGCAAAAAGUUAACUUUUCCAUCAGUGGGUACCUAAACUCUGCCCCGAGGAGUCUUUUGCUAACAUAAUAGACAGGGUGCUGAACAAGGCUUUCUUCCCUUACCAACGCCGCACUGAUGGCAUCUUCUGAGAGAACCAUGUAGAGAAAGAGAGGCUCUUUGUCUACUAGCUUGGACAGAAUCAAAGGAUUUUCCAUGUGUGCCUUAAGCUAUUGGAACGACUGUUCGCACUCUUUUGGCCAUUCAAAUCUUUGACCUCCUCGGAGGACAUUAAAGAAAGGGAUGCACUUGUUUAUUGCCUUGGAGACAAAACUACUCAAAGAUGCGAUCCUCCCUAUCAGGCUCUGAACUUCUUUAUGUUUUUGAGGAGAUGACAUAUUGAUUAGGGCCUUGAUCUUCUCGGGGUUUGCCUCAAAUCCCCGAGCACUGAUAAUGAAGCCAAGGAACUUACUAGAGGCAUCUCCAAAUGUGCACUUUUGGGGGUUUAAUUUCAUUCUGAACUGGUGGAGCACCGUGAAAACCUUAGUCAAGUCGCCCACAUGGUCAGGGGCGAUCCUGGACUUGACCAACAUGUCGUCUACAUAAGACUCAAUGUUCCGGCCUAACUGGUUCUUGAACGUCUUAUUAACCAGCCUUUGGUAGAUGGCGCUGACAUUUUUCAUCCCAAAAGGCAUCAUGAUGUAACAAUUGACACCCUUAUCAGUUUGAAAGCUAGUGUGCUCCUAAUCCACGAUGUGCAUGGAUAUCUAGUUAUAUCUUGAAUUUACGUCCAUAAAUGACAACAACUCAUAGCCAAAUGUCGCAUCAACCAUCUAGUUUAUCUUGGGGAGUGGGAAGCAGUCCUUCAGACAAGCCUUGUUAAGGUAUGAGAAGUCAAUGCAUGUCAGCUAGGUGUCGUUUAGCUUUGGCACGAGAACAGGAUUGGACAACCACCUGGGGUAUUGGGCUUCUCGAAUAAAUCCAUUGGAGAUGAGCUUGUCCACCUCGGCCUUGAGAGCCUUUUCCCAAGUUUGAUCAAACAUCCACUACUUCUACUGGACGGGAGAAAAAAUAGGAUCGAUAUUCAAGGCGUGUCAUAUGAUGUUCGAAUCAAUGCCAGUCAUGUCGGAAUGUGACCAUGCGAACACGUCUUGAUUUUCUCGGAGGAAACCCACCACUGCCUCUCGGACUUCAGUUUUAUAGCUUCCCCCAACUUUUAUUUUUCUAUUGGGGGUGGAGGUGUCAAGAACUACCUCCUCCACCUCCUCUAUUUGUUCAAUGGACCUCUCAUCUUGAACCCUCAGGUCUAACUCGUUGAGCCUGGUCUCCUGAACAACUUGGACUUCUGAUGCUUCAGGCUUCUCGGGACCUUCCUCUUCCUCGAGGCCUUCCUCCACCACCAUGACGAGAGUUUUGAGGGAGACAUUGUAACACUGUCUCGCCUCUUUCUGGUCUCCACGGACUGUACCAAUUCCUGCCUUUGUGGGGAACUUCAUGCACAAAUGGCAGAUGGAGGUGACAGCUCCGAACUCCACCAGCACAGGUCGUCCCAAGAUGGCGUUGUAUGCCGAGGUAUAAUCCACCACCACAAAGGUGCAGUAUUUGAAGGCCUAGCGAGGCACCUCUCCAAGCAUCACAGGGAGCUUUAUCUGUCCCAUCGGGAUGAGGGCCUCUCCCGAGAAUCCAUAGAGUGUCGAGGCGCAUGGGGACAAGUCUGUCGUGGUCAGCCCUAUCUUCUCAAAGGCUGAUCUAAACAGGAUGUUCACCGAACUCCCGUUGUCUAUUAAAAUCGAUGCCACCAUUUUUUUUGGAGAUUUGACUCUCAAUCACCAACGCGUUGUGAUGCGGGAAAUGCACUCUCCAAGCAUCAUCUUCGGAGAAUGUUAUGACUUGGUCAGUCAUUCAUGGCAUUUGGGCAUGUAACUGGGUGAAGCCAUCACUUCAUCAUUAUGAUUUAAAGCUCGUGCAUACCUAUUCUGUGAGAUUCGUGAGGUGCCACCCAAGUGGGGCCCUCCCGAGAUGGUUCCUACCCGCCCGUUCAUCGGAGGAGGCCCUUGCGCCACGGGAUGUUGGGGAACUACAGGAGCAACUGCGGGGACAUGUGGGGAAACAUGUGGUACCAACGGUCCUACCACGUCAACACUCAUUGGUGUGGUGCCCUAUGUCAUUGAGCUGGAGACACUCAUUGGUGUGGUGCCCUAUGUUGUUGUGGAAAUGACAAAAUUUUCCAAGGUCCCGCCUUUCCCUGUCCCUCCAGAUGGGCUGCAGCUUCCUGUAGUGAACAUGUUGCGCCAUUGCCAUGAAGAUAUUAUCUCAAGAGUCUACCAAGUAAGUGUACGUGGACUACUGUGAGACAUACUUCUCACCAGAUGUGACUCCCUGCUCGUCCUGCGCGGUUCUGCUUCCCUUGGGCUUCCGAACUUUGCCUUUCCCACGCGGCUAUUAUUUCCGGGAGCUCUGAUGGAUUCAGCAGGCUGGAAGGGGACAACAACUCUAACAUUGAAUGCAGGCUGAAAAGCACUGUAUCCAGUGGGCGCUGCCCCAUACCCUGCUGGAGCAAUACUGAAUCCAGAAGCGGGCAUGGGGCUAUAACCGAAAGGCGGGACAUUUUGGCUGGGUUGGACUCCCUCCGAGCUCGAUUGGACAAGAACAAAAGGGGAAUAUUGGAUUCCCGAUGCCACAAGGCCAAGCGCGACCGAAGUAGGGAAAAUGAAGAGUGCUCCGAAUGUCCCAAUCUAGGCAUCCUCCCAGCUGAUAUACUCUUGUGCUCGAUGAAUAAAGUCAUCGAGACAUCGACAUCCUCGCCGUUGGAGAUCAUCCCAAAGCAGGGACCUUGUGCGGAUGCCAGCUUGUAAUUCCAUCAAUUGCUUGCCAUCAUCGACCCUUUUGGUUCUCGUUGCUUCCUGCUUAAAGUGUUUGAUGUAGGCCUUGAGGGUCUCGAAGGGCCCUUGCUUUAUGUUGGCUAAGGCGUUGACCUCAAUGCUUACCUUCUGAACUCUUAUGAAUUGUCUUCAGAAGGUGGAAAAUAACUGAUGCCAUGAUUGAAUGGACCCUGGUCGGAGCUUUUUAAACCAUUCAUCUGCUGGCCCCGUCUGGGUGAUUAGGAACAUAUGACACUUAGCGUCGUCAAAGACACGAUGCACCGACAUUAACUUGUUGAACUUAGACAGGUGGUCCGUGGGAUCCCAGCCACCGUCAUAGGACGGUAUGGAUGGAAUUUUGAAGCCUGGUGGUAGAGGGGCCUCAACAAUGUGAGGAGCGCAUGGCUCUAGUUCUUCGUCUUCCAAGUUAGAUUCGUGGCCAUGUCGCCUGGCCAUCCUGAGAAUUAUAUGCUUCAGACUUUCUAAUUUCACACGGAGCGGGUCAUGAUUCCGGUUAAUGCUUUGAGCUGGGUUAUCUCUUUUUUGAGCGUUGAGAUUAUCCCUGAGGUCUGACAGACCUCUCCCAGUGGGCUCGCACCCUCCUGCCUUAUUGCAUCAUGAGGCGUUGAGGUUGUCUCACAAGUCAGACUGUCCUCGAAGCGCACUAUUACCCUCAGAACGAGCCACUUCAGUCUCUCCAUCGGACUCGAUGUUUUCGUUUACCAAGAUACUAAUGUCGCAUUCUCGAUUUUGCGGGGCAUUCCUCGGGUGGAUCCCUGGACCGUUAUUCUUACAGGGCUUAUUAAGUCUCGUUUGGACAUCAGCUCCAGGGCUCGCGCAAUCCGUAUGGGCAUGUCAGGGUGUAACGCCCCGAACUCCACGGGUGGUGACUACCUGGCGGUGUACUCGGGCCCCUGGGCCAUUACCUUUGCCAGCCUAUUGAGAAACUUGGUGGCCUUCGGUCUCUUAAUGAGCCCUCUUCUGCUUUGAAGCAUGAUUAUCGUUAGCCUUUCCCUUACCACGAUCCUGCGAUGGCAUUACUUUUCCAACUCCUGCUAGGUGCCUGGUGGGCACAGCCAACGAAUCUUGUGCCUCUGCAGCAGGGUGCUCGGAAGGCACUCCAGCUGCAUUAACAGGUGGCACUCCAACAGGGAGCGUAGGUGGCAUGCUAGUUGGGUGCCCAGUUGGUGCACGGCCAUUAGGGUCAACUCGCAACCCCUGGACUAUAAGAGGGGCCUUCAUGACAAGUACAAUCUCCUGUAGGGCGACGAUGUUACCCUCUUAUGCAUCGUACUUUUGUUGUUGGGUGCCCACCUGCUCACGGAGCAUCAUCACCUCCGGCAUCUCCUUCGCAUCCAUGGGCUGAGGAUAUUCUUCCUCAUAGUACCCUUGGUCGAUGCCGUCAUCUUCGUCGUCGUAUUCGAUGUUUUUGUCAUAAUCCUCUACCAUCUCAGGUAUGUCCUGAGGUGGCUGCCAACUGGGUUCCCCUCCUACGACUCCGGUAAGAGGGAGUAUAUCAUCUGUAAUGUUUCUUCAUGUAGUCACCAUAGCUGUAAGUGUUCCAAAUGCUUUCUUCACGCUCUCAAUGAAAGUACCAAAAUGUUGACUGCCUUUUUCACUAUCAACCUUAAAAAGAUAGAUUAAAGAAACAAGCAAUAUAAACACAAGGAUUUUUAUGUGGUUUAGGUUAUAAAAGAACCCUAGUCCACGAGUCUAUGGUAUUAAGAGAAUUGAAAGCUUGUGAUGACAAGCUCCAAUGGUGUAUUUGUUAGGCUAUUCUUAGCCUACUUUCUAAGUGUCUUGAUUUAUGUUUUAUUGUUGUGCUUGCGUGUUUUUGGGAGCAGAUUUACGCUUGUUUUUCUUGAUUUCAGGUUUAAGCACAAGAAUGGUUCAAAUGGAAUGGAAUGUGGAGAACAAGUGCUAAACCAAGCUUAAAAGUGUUCAAUGCAGGAUAUCCAAUUAGGGCCGUGACGCUAGAGUUUGUGCUAUGGUGCUGGUGGCCAUUACAGCCGCGGCGAGGGUCAAAUAUCAAAAUCAAAGUCAAAGUCCUAGAAUCAAUUAGCGCUGGAGUGCAACUUUUUGGGCCGUAGUGCUUGGGUGUAUUUGAGUUGCAGCGAGCCCAUUUUCCAGAAAGUUGAGACAUCCCAAUUUCUGAGUGGCGCCGCGGCGCUGUCGUCCGUACGAUUCAUGAAUUUUCCACUUAGCAUAGAACAUUUUAGGAAUUGGGGCAGAAAAAUUAUUAGGUCAUUGUUUUUAAUUAGAGAAAUCGCAAUUUUUAGAGGGGCAGGCUCUUUUAGAACUAAGAAAACAACAAAGAGAGGAAUGGAGAUCAAGCUUUGGAGCAAUUGUGACAACCCCGAAUCUAGUUUCUCAUAUACUCUUUUUAUUUUUUGAAUUUUACUAUGUCUUUCAUGGAUUUGAUUAUUAACAUUUUAAUGAAGAUUAUGAAUUAAACUCCAAUUUAGGGUCUUUAAUGGAGAUUGUCUGAAGCUUUCUAUGGAUUAAUGCAAUUUCGAUAUUUUUCUUCUA
This is a long non-coding RNA of Humulus lupulus (European hop), 19432 nucleotides long. RefSeq lists it as uncharacterized. Lineage: Eukaryota; Viridiplantae; Streptophyta; Magnoliopsida; Rosales; Cannabaceae. The record is from RefSeq and is a predicted model, not a curated record. The transcript has 2 exons.